AAUUCUCAACUUCAAAAGCUUUUGCUUAUUGAAGCUUGGAUGUGGAGGCUUUGCUGGCUCUUCUUCUAGAGUCGGCUCCUCUGAAAUGCAUUAGUGGAAACUUUUUGCAAUCCGCAUUGGUGUGAUAAUUAUCUACGCUUAUGUUGUGGUUGCAGCUCUUUACUGAGUUUAGUAUCUGCUUCAAACCGUCCUAAGUUACUGGACAACUUGAACC
This 214-nucleotide unclassified non-coding RNA is filed under the name uncultured Marasmius. Its description in RNAcentral is "sequence contains ITS2". The record is from RNAcentral. Lineage: Eukaryota; Fungi; Basidiomycota; Agaricomycetes; Agaricales; Tricholomataceae.